UGAGGAACAUGACCUUCGGCGGGGGAUAGCCGGCCCAACGGCCGGGUAAUACCGCGUACGACCACAUGGGGACAUCCCUGAGUGGUGAAAGCAGCAAUGCGCCGAUGGAGUGCCUCGCGGCCUAUCAGCUAGUUGGUGGGGUAAUGGCUCACCAAGGCGACGACGGGUAGCUGGUCUGAGAGGAUGGCCAGCCACAUUGGGACUGAGACGCGGCCCAGACCUCUACGGGGAGG
This 233-nucleotide ribosomal RNA is filed under the name uncultured bacterium. Its description in RNAcentral is "partial 16S ribosomal RNA". It matches the Rfam family "Bacterial small subunit ribosomal RNA", at positions 118 to 348 of the family's 1533-position model. The record is from RNAcentral.